UCACUCUUGUUUCUCUUCAAUUCGUAUAAAUCUUUCGCCUUUUACUAAAGAUUUCCGUGUGGAGAAACAACAAGAGUACAAUUACAAUUUUUAAAAGUCCUCUGACGCAGGGCUU
Molecule: small nuclear RNA, 115 nt
Organism: Nerophis ophidion (straightnose pipefish)
Lineage: Eukaryota; Metazoa; Chordata; Actinopteri; Syngnathiformes; Syngnathidae
Product: U5 spliceosomal RNA
Exons: 1
Source: RefSeq, a predicted model, not a curated record